RNAcentral lists this small RNA (3524 nucleotides) under Pongo abelii (Sumatran orangutan). RNAcentral describes it as "processed transcript". The record is from RNAcentral. Lineage: Eukaryota; Metazoa; Chordata; Mammalia; Primates; Hominidae.
CAGUCUGGGGCGAGCGCUGUAGUGAGCGCGGACGGAUGCUUAGGCAGUAGUCCUGGCAGCGGCAGUAGUGGUGGCAGCAGAAGAGAGGAAGGGGGAGGGCCCCGAGGGCUACACACGCUCACACUUUCAAGUUCCCUUGGAGGGAGAGGAGGUGGGGCUGCAGAAAGAGGAGGCCAGGAGCGGUCCCAUCCGUCCCGUCCCGUCUCCCCCUCUUCCUCUUGCUCCUUGCCCCCCGGCUCUGCGAGAGUUGAGGGUUCAGGUGGCCGUACGCGGCAGUGAGGGCAAGAGGGCCAGGAGAGUGGGGAGCGGAGGCAGGAGUGCGGGGGAAGAUGCCCAUCCUGCUGUUCCUCAUAGACACGUCCGCCUCUAUGAACCAGCGCACUGACCUGGGCACCUCCUAUUUGGACAUUGCCAAAGGCGCUGUGGAGUUAUUCUUGAAGCUGCGCGCCCGGGACCCGGCCAGCCGCGGAGACAGGUACAUGCUGGUCACCUACGACGAACCCCCGUACUGCAUCAAGGCUGGUUGGAAGGAAAAUCAUGCAACAUUCAUGAGCGAACUAAAAAAUCUUCAGGCUUCUGGACUGACUACUCUUGGUCAGGCUCUAAGAUCCUCAUUUGAUUUGUUAAAUCUCAAUAGAUUAAUAUCUGGAAUAGACAAUUAUGGACAGGGGAGAAAUCCAUUUUUUUUAGAACCAUCUAUUUUAAUUACCAUCACAGAUGGAAACAAGUUAACAAGUACUGCUGGUGUUCAAGAAGAGCUCCAUCUUCCUUUGAAUUCCCCUCUGCCUGGAAGUGAACUAACCAAAGAACCUUUUCGUUGGGAUCAAAGGUUAUUUGCCCUGGUGUUGCGUUUGCCUGGAGUGGCUUCUACCGAACCAGAGCAACUAGGGAGCGUACCAACUGAUGAAUCUGCCAUCACACAGAUGUGUGAAGUCACAGGAGGUCGCUCCUACUGUGUGAGAACACAAAGAAUGUUGAAUCAAUGUUUAGAAUCUCUAGUUCAAAAAGUUCAGAGUGGUGUAGUUAUUAAUUUUGAAAAAACAGGACCAGAUCCACUUCCUAUUGGAGAAGAUGGACUUAUGGAUUCAUCUAGGCCAAGCAAUUCAUUUGCUGCUCAGCCAUGGCAUAGUUGUCAUAAACUCAUUUAUGUACGACCUAACUCUAAAACUGGUGUUCCUGUUGGACAUUGGCCAAUUCCAGAAUCUUUUUGGCCAGAUCAGAAUUUACCUUCAUUACCUCCACGAACAUCUCAUCCUGUUGUGAGGUUCUCCUGUGUAGAUUGUGAGCCAAUGGUAAUAGACAAACUUCCUUUUGACAAAUAUGAACUUGAACCUUCACCCUUAACUCAGUAUGUCUUGGAACGAAAGUCUCCCCAUACCUGCUGGCAGAUGACUUGUUUAAAGUUCACAAGCUUAAGCCAAAUCUGAAGUGGCGACAGGCUUUUGACAGCUACUUAAAAACUCUGCCUCCAUACUACCUAUUAACCAAACUAGAGUCAGAACGAAUACUAGCAUCAGUGGGGAAGAAACCUCCCCAGGAAAUUGGAAUUAAAGUGAAAAAUCAUUCUGGAGGUGGCAUGUCCUUGACUCACAAUAAAAAUUUUAGAAAACUAUUGAAAGAAAUCACAGGGGAAACUGCGCUUAGACUGACAGAAUUGAACACCAAAGAAUUUGCUGGCUUCCAAAUUGGGCUCUUAAACAAGGAUUUGAAACCUCAGACAUACAGAAAUGCUUAUGAUAUUCCCCGUAGAGAUCUUUUAGACCAGCUGACCAGAAUGAGAUCCAAUCUGCUGAAAACGCACAAGUUUAUUGUUGGACAAGAUGAAGAUUCCCUUCAUAGUGUUCCAGUUGCACAAAUGGGUAACUAUCAGGAAUAUCUGAAGACAUUGGCUUCUCCACUACGGGAGAUUGAUCCAGACCAACCCAAAAGACUGCAUACUUUUGGCAAUCCGUUUAAACAAGAUAAGAAGGGAAUGAUGAUUGAUGAAGCAGAUGAGUUUGUAGCAGGGCCACAAAACAAAGUGAAACGUCCAGGGGAACCCAACAGUCCUAUGUCAUCUAAGAGAAGGCGGAAUGCUACUGUCAUUCACGAUGGCCAUGAGGAGAAGAUGGAAAAUGGUCAGAUCACACCUGAUGGCUUCCUGUCAAAGUCUGCUCCAUCAGAGCUUAUAAAUAUGACAGGAGAUCUUAUGCCACCCAACCAAGUGGAUUCUCUGUCUGAUGACUUCACAAGUCUCAGCAAAGAUGGGCUGAUUCAAAAACCUGGUAGUAACGCAUUUGUAGGAGGAGCCAAAAACUGCAAUCUCUCCGUAGAUGACCAAAAAGACCCAGUAGCAUCUACUUUGGGAACUAUGCCAAAUACAUUACAAAUCACUCCUGCUAUGGCACAAGGAAUCAAUGCUGAUAUAAAACAUCAAUUAAUGAAGGAAGUUCGAAAGUUUGGACGAAAAUAUGAAAGAAUUUUCAUUUUGCUUGAAGAAGUGCAAGGACCUCUGGAGAUGAAGAAACAAUUUGUUGAAUUUACCAUCAAGGAAGCCGCAAGGUUUAAAAGACGAGUCCUAAUUCAGUACCUCGAGAAGGUACUAGAGAAAAUAGAUUCCCACCACCUUCUCAACAACAUUAAUCACAUCAACAGCAGAUCAUCAUGUUAGUGCAAAGACCAAUGAGAAAAAAAUGACAAGUUUUCUGUGCUGUAGGAUGGAACAGGAUAUUGUUGAAGCCUCCUGGAAUGUUUGAGUCAAGGGAAUUGCUUUCCAGAUGCUAAGAAGAAGCAGUGGGGCUUUUGAAUUUUAUGAUUAUCUGGCAGUGAAAGCUGGGCUUUUGCCUUAAUAAUUUUUUAAAGUAUGAGUUGUUUUGUUUUGUUUUCCUCAAUUGAGGAAGCUGAUGUUAUUAAUUCAGCAGGCUAAAUUCAGUAAACACCGCUGCCCCUACCACGGGUAAUGAGAGGUCACUCACUUGAACUUUGCCAUUCCAGGCAUUCUCAGAGUGGCUAGGGGCCACCUGCAAGUGGAGCACAACUUGGUGCUCUUACUGUGUCCUUCAGAAAGAAUAGGUGUACAGAAAAGAAAUGGCAAUCUUAUGUGAGCUGAACAAAGUUUUCAACAAUUCCUAGUUGUGCCUUUUAAACCAUGCAAUAUUCAGGAUAGUUUGAAUCAAAGAAGUAAGAAGCUGCUAUUUGGGUAACUUAUUUCUCUGUGGGAAGGGGCAGGGAGAGUCACCAAACAAUCUACCUCCAACUCUCUUCUCGUUUGUCUAGAGACAUUACAAAGUGCACUUGAGGCUGCCCCCAACCUCUGACAUUUGUUCUUGCAUGUGAUGAUAGAAAAUCUUCAGAUGGACUUAUACAUUCUGUGCUUUGGAAGCACAAGAAGAUCAAAAAAUGUAUAUAUUUCCUUUAAUGUUUAUACAAAAGUUUAUAUGGAGCAGUAUUGUUAUGUUUGUAUGAAUUUGCAAAAAUUAAAGUGUACAAAGAGAUUUUGAUUUUGCAUAUAUAAAAUAAAUCAUUUUAUUGAUUUUCACGGGUUC